RNAcentral lists this ribosomal RNA (253 nucleotides) under uncultured bacterium. RNAcentral describes it as "partial 16S ribosomal RNA". It matches the Rfam family "Bacterial small subunit ribosomal RNA", at positions 524 to 776 of the family's 1533-position model. The record is from RNAcentral.
UACGUAGGGUGCGAGCGUUAAUCGGAAUUACUGGGCGUAAAGCGCACGUAGGCGGGUUUUUAAGUCAGAUGUGAAAGCCCCGGGCUCAACCUGGGAAUUGCAUUUGAAACUGGGGAACUAGAGUGUGUGAGAGGGGGGUAGAAUUCCAAGUGUAGCGGUGAAAUGCGUAGAGAUUUGGAGGAAUACCAGUGGCGAAGGCGGCCCCCUGGCCCGAUAUUGACGCUGAGGUGCGAAAGCGUGGGGAGCAAACAGG